CCUACGGGAGGCUGCAGUGGGGAAUAUUGCACAAUGGGGGAAACCCUGAUGCAGCAACGCCGCGUGAAGGAAGACGGUUUUCGGAUGGUAAACGUCUGUUCGUAGGGAAGAAGAAUGACGGUAGCUAAGGAGCAAGCCACGGCUAACUACGUGCCAGCAGCCGCGGUAAUACGUAGGUGGCAAGCGUGGUCCGGAAUUACUGGGUGUAAAGGGAGCGCAGGCGGGAAGCCAAGUCAGCGGUGAAAACUCCGGGCUUAACUUGUCGACUGCAGUUGAAACUGGUUUUCUUGAGUGCAGUAGAGUUUGGCGGCAUUCCUCUUGUAGCUGUGCAAUGCGUCGAUCUUCGGCGGAACACCGGUGGCGAAGGCGGCCCACUGGACUUUACCUGCCGCUGUGGCUCGAAAGUGUGUGGAGCAAACCGGAUUCGCUACCCUGGUAGUC
This 441-nucleotide ribosomal RNA is filed under the name uncultured bacterium. RNAcentral's name for it is "partial 16S ribosomal RNA". It matches the Rfam family "Bacterial small subunit ribosomal RNA", at positions 338 to 795 of the family's 1533-position model. The record is from RNAcentral.